Molecule: long non-coding RNA, 690 nt
Organism: Salvelinus fontinalis (brook trout)
Lineage: Eukaryota; Metazoa; Chordata; Actinopteri; Salmoniformes; Salmonidae
Exons: 3
Source: RefSeq, a predicted model, not a curated record
ACGUGAGCUUUGUUUAAGGAGGAGCGUACAAACCCUCAGGUCUUACAAGUUUUGUACGGCUUUCUGUUAUUUUUAGUGGCUAUGGUUGAUAAUAGUUAUCACGCCAAGUUUAAAAGCAGAAGCAACGCUUAAAUAUACGCUUUAACACAGCUAACUACUUGAUGUUUCUCUAACUUGCAUUUGGAUGAUGCAAAUUGCAGCUGUCAGUGUCCAGCUCAGCUGUCAAACUGUUAUCUGGUGAUAUGCUGUCCUUGAGCCAUGUUCAGCGUGUUAGUUUGGAUUUCACCGUAACCCUUUUCCCUCAUGCAAUUUGUCUUGGGAAUGCGGACAAUGACUCGCUGAAUGAACUUAUCGUGGGUGACACCAGUGGAAAGCUGCAUGUGUACAAGAAUGAUGACUCUAAGCCUUGGAUCACUAGAACAUGUGUGGGCAUGCUCACCUGUGUUGGUGUUGGAGACAUCUGCAACCAAGGAAGGGUGGGUGUGCAGAAACUGCAUAGUCCUCCAGUCAGAUGAGGAAUAUUUGUGUGUUUCCCCCCCCCCCCUUGCAUCCAAUGAGUGCUAUCAUCUAACUAUUCACUGCCUUAACUUAUCCAUCAAAACUUUGUAGUUGCUGUGGGUGCAGAGGGAUGGUUUCACCUGUUUGACCUGUCUGCAGUGGCAGGAGCCAAGUCAGAUUUGUCCAGCCAGC